RNAcentral lists this long non-coding RNA (923 nucleotides) under Portunus trituberculatus (swimming crab). RNAcentral describes it as "uncharacterized LOC123510851, transcript variant X10". The record is from RNAcentral. Lineage: Eukaryota; Metazoa; Arthropoda; Malacostraca; Decapoda; Portunidae.
CUCUUCUGUAGGCGCUGUGGAGCAGUGUAUACAAGGAAGAACGUCUGGUCAUGCCGCCCACCUCGAAACAUCGGGCGUCAGUCCUUCAGGCGAUGGAGCACAUUCCGUCAGAAGUCUUGAUAUCGGCGUCCCUACAUCUACGCUCUACCCACUACAGUCUUGUCACCGGCGUCCCUACAUCUACGCUCUACCCACUACAGUCUUGUCACCGGCGUCCCUACAUCUACGCUCUACCCACUAGUCUUGUCACCGGGGUCCCUACAUCUACGCUCUACCCACUUGGAGCCACAUCGGUCUACCUAAGGGAACUCGUCAGCCACAGCGGCGCUCGAGUCUGACCUGUACCCGCCCAAGUGUGAGAAGCCUGGCCUUCUGUUGCUGCUCCUCAUCGGUGUCCCAUGUGGUAGCAGUCCACCUCAAGUAGGUCUGCUUCUUCAGAAGAGGACGCAGACCGCGGAGGCGUGCGGUCCGGCACAGGUCCUGCCACUACUGGAGAACCAAACCAGUGUGUCCUAACAAUCCCCAACCUACGUCAAGAAAGACGCCAGCUGUUGUAUAACACACGGAGCCAUCCAGGGAGGGAGAACAACCCUCAACCUGCGGCAGGAAACUGGCUCCUCUUGGAGUGUCACAGACUCCAAGUGUCUGACAACACACGGAGCCAUCCAGGGAGGGAGGACAGACUGCCUCGCUUCAUCUGAUUUAACAAUACAUGUUGCCAGUCACUCUUGUAAUGUUAUUAUUCCUAGUCUAAUGUGAAUGUAUGCAUGCACAUAACCAAUACAUUUUGCCAAUUACUCUUUUGAUGUCAUUCCUUCCAUCUAAUGUGGGUGUGUCCACACAUGUAAUGUUUAUUCCUGUGUUCUGUUGUGUACCCACAUAACUGGUGUGUUACAACUCGUAAUAAAUCAUGAUUAAGAAAA